CUGAAAAUAAUUGUUUCUUUCCUUUCUUUCAUCAAAUAUAUUUUCUGUUGCCCUUCUUCUUGCUUACCUCUUAACCACUGAAAAAUUAUUGUAUUUUUCAUCUAAGAAUGUGAAGUCCAGCAAUAUAAUAGGUGUGAAUGGAGAUCAGAGAAGAUUUUGGAAUAGUUUCCUUCUCGGUGCCGGCCACCUCUAUUGCUACUUGAUCUUUGAUAACUUUAAGGAUAUUUCACUUAUUUUAACAGGAAAAAGUUGUUAACAGUACUUAUAUUCAUUAAUUUUUUUUAAUUUCAAUACUUUUAUCCAAAUAUUUAACUGCUUAUUUAUAAAAUAUAUUCUGAC
RNAcentral lists this long non-coding RNA (339 nucleotides) under Nicotiana benthamiana. Its description in RNAcentral is "long non-coding RNA (NBEN_LNC025191)". Lineage: Eukaryota; Viridiplantae; Streptophyta; Magnoliopsida; Solanales; Solanaceae. The record is from RNAcentral.